RNAcentral lists this ribosomal RNA (469 nucleotides) under uncultured bacterium. Its description in RNAcentral is "bacterial SSU rRNA". It matches the Rfam family "Bacterial small subunit ribosomal RNA", at positions 28 to 492 of the family's 1533-position model. The record is from RNAcentral.
GAUGAACGCUAGCGGCAGGCCUAAUACAUGCAAGUCGAGGGGCAGCAGGAAUAGCAAUAUUUGCUGGCGACCGGCGCACGGGUGCGUAACACGUAUACAAUCUGCCUUCUACUGGGGGAUAGCCUUUCGAAAGAGAGAUUAAUACCCCAUAAUAAAUUGAAUAGCAUUAUUUGAUUUUGAAAGAUCCGUCGGUAGAAGAUGAGUAUGCGUCUGAUUAGCUAGUUGGUGAGGUAAUGGCUCACCAAGGCUACGAUCAGUAGGGGAUCUGAGAGGACUACCCCCCCACACUGGUACUGAGACACGGACCAGACUCCUACGGGAGGCAGCAGUAAGGAAUAUUGGACAAUGGAGGCAACUCUGAUCCAGCCAUGCCGCGUGCAGGAUGAAGGCCCUAUGGGUCGUAAACUGCUUUUGUACGAGAGAAAACCUAUUUACGUGUAGAUAGUUGAUAGUAUCGUAAGAAUAAGGA